Molecule: ribosomal RNA, 465 nt
Filed under: uncultured bacterium
Lineage: Bacteria
Description: partial 16S ribosomal RNA
Rfam family: Bacterial small subunit ribosomal RNA
Source: RNAcentral
GACGAACGCUGGCGGCGUGCUUAACACAUGUAAGUCGAACGGUAAGGCGCUUUCGGGGGUAAAUGAGUGGAGAAAGGGUGAGUAAGAGGUGAGUAAGUUGAAUAUAAAUUUGGGAUAAAGCUAGGCAACUGGUGACAAUCCUGGAUAUGUGUUCCUGCUGCAUGGUGGGGGUUGGAAAGCUCCGGCGGUUGUUGAUGGACUCGCGGCCUAUCAGCUUGUUGGUGGGGUAGUGGCCUAUCAAGGCGGUGGCGGGUAGCCGGCCUGAGAGAGUGACCGGCCACAUUGGGUCUGAGAUACGGCCCAGACUCCUACGGGGGGCAGCAGUGGGGAAGAUUGCACAAUGGGCGCAAGCCUGAUGCAGCAACGCCGCGUGCGGGAGGACGGCCUUCGGAUGGUAAACCGCUUUCAGCAGGGACGAAGCUUGUUGUGACGGUACCUGCAGAAGAAGCACCGGCUAACUACGUG